This 551-nucleotide ribosomal RNA is filed under the name uncultured eukaryote. RNAcentral's name for it is "bacterial SSU rRNA". It matches the Rfam family "Eukaryotic small subunit ribosomal RNA", at positions 622 to 1062 of the family's 1831-position model. The record is from RNAcentral.
AAAAGCUCGUAGUUGAAAUUUGGGACUUUAUUAUAUUGGUUUAUCUUUUGAUGAACUGUAUAAUGGGUUUCUUCCUACUAGGAUUCGACUCUGUCCUUAACUGGAUGGAGUAGUCAUCUCUCGGGGUGAUCAAUUUGUUAUUAUAUCUCCACUAAUGAGCAGAGAGGGGUAAAACUCUCAAAGUAAGUUUUGUGGAUCAAGGUAUGAUGGUGAAUUGGAGUUCUAGUUCAUUUACUUUGAGAAAAUUAGAGUGUUUAAAGCAGCCUCUUGGGGCACUGAAUACAUUAGCAUGGGGAUAAUAAAAUAGGAUCUUUACAAUAUAUUUUAUUGGUUUAAAUUGAAAUAAAGAUAAUGAUUAAUAGGGACAGUUGGGGGUAUUCAUAUUGGGUGGUUAGCGGUGAAAUGCUCGGAUCCAUUCAAGAUGAACUAAAAGCGAAAGCAUUUACCAAGGAUGUUUUCAUUAAUCAAGAACGAAAGUUAAGGGAUCGAAGACGAUUAGAUACCGUCGUAGUCUUAACUAUAAAACUAUGCCGACCAGGGAUAUGAGUUUA